GAAGGGAAGUGAGGGGUAGAGGAAGGCGGGUUCCUGGCUCGGCUCUACCACCAUGGAUCUAGGUGAGGACAGGCGCUCCUGCUUUCCCGCCCAAAUGUUGUAUUUUCCAAGCCUACCCUUGCCGGCCACGCCCCCAACCUGGGCCUAUAAAAACCGCCCCCCGCAGGCCCUAGCGGGCAGACACACUGAAGUCGCUAGACGUCUGAGGAACACAUCCGGGGAAGAAGACACAGGUGGCUGGUCAUCGAGAGCCCGCUGGGGGAAGAGCACACAGACAGGCACCGGCAGGCCAUUGACCAGCGGGACAAGGUGGGCUCAAUGUCAUCACAAGGGUGCUUAAGAGGGAAAGAGGAAGCCAUGAGGGUCAGAGUCAAAGGAAGACUUGAAGAUACUACACUGUGGACUUUACAGAUGAAGGAAGGGGCGAAAACCAAGAAUGUGGGAAGCCUCUAGAAGCUAGAGAAGGCAAGGAAACAAAUUUUCCACUAGAGCCUCCAGAAGGAACACAGCCCUGCUGACCCACUGUAAUGUCUGACCUCUAGAUGUGUAAGGGUAGUAAGACUGAAAGUCUCAGAAAGGCACUGUUACAUUCUUAUUCCACAACUAUGCAACUCGAAACUGGGGUCCUCAGCAGUGAGCGAGGGGUGAGAGAAGACACUGUAUAAACAUGGCACAUCCUCCUGGAAAGUCAACUUUACUCAAAGGUUCUUACACACAGUGACAGCUAGCAGAGUCUAAAAUGCUGACAUUAUGACUUAGAGAUGUGAUAAAGAGAAACAUCUACUGCAUUUUCUGUAAGUAAAUGUGGUGCCGGCAUUGAGAGAACAUACGUAAUCAGAUACCUGUUCUCCCUGAGUUUCUUAAUUUAAGCCUCGCGAUUCCUAAUUAGCAGUUAGAUUGCAUCCAUUGUUAUUUUGUCUUUGGUUAUCAAUGAUGAUCAACCUUUGCUAAACAAAGAUAUGUCAUCAUGCUGGGGACACUCAUGGAUUUUUUUUUUAAAGGUUUUAACAUUUGAUAAUAGGUUUUCCAAUAGCUUGAAGGGUAGCUUUUAACAUUUCUUUUCCAGCUGAAGUAUUUCCUGAGUUCUGUCCAAGCCCUCUGUAGUUAAAGAAAAGGCUUUUUGACACUGAAUAGACAAUGUUGUGGCUUUUUUUUUCCUUCUUCAGACAAAUGUGUAGGCAUUUAGACCGCCACGUUGUACUCUCGUAAUUGAGACACCUUGCAGAAAUGGCAAUUAAGGGUGACUCGUGUCAAAAAUAUUCAGGACAAAUUACAUUUUACUGAUUUUUAAAAACUUUCAAAGGUACUCUCUCCUCUUUCUUUCUCCUUUCUCUCUUCCUACCUCCCUCCCACCCGCUCCUCGUUUUUUCUUUUAAAUAUUAAGUAAACUGUUUGCAUUUUUACGUCUCAUCAAAGUUGUUCCAGGUUUUUUCUGGGUUUACUGAAACUUCAAAUUGACUACUCAGAUCAAAACAAUUAGUGAAGUCUAAGGUAUUCUUAAUUCCUGAAAUGAAAACAGAAUGGACGUUCAGGACGUUCUGUUUUGCUCUGGCUACCCGCUUGGCUUCUCGCUCAGAAUAUUCUUGCUCUCAAGUUAGUUCCAGUUCUGUUUAUUUUGUCCUGAGCUCAGUGAACUUUCCAAAGCCCUACUCUUCAAACAACACUUUUUUUCCCCCGCCCCGUGAGCUGGAGUUUAUUUUGUGCUCACCCUUCAUUCUGUGAGUUGUGAAUAAUUUUAACACAAAGAAAAAAAAAUCUCCUCCCGACCACGGAGAGAAGAGGGGAUUUUAGAAUAAAGAUAAAAAUUGCUGUUUUAGCCCCCAAAGCAAAGGACUUGGGAAAGAAGAGAAAAGGGGGGAAAAUAGAACAGCAAAGGAAAAAAAAAAAAAACAGAAAAAAAUUUUUUAUAAGGGUGUCAGUACAAAACAGGUGUUUGAUGAAGCUCAAGCAAAACAAAUGACAAAGUUAGCAUUGAAAGGCCAAAUACGUGAUACACAUUUAAACUACUUAGGUAAAUUUAUUUAUGAAAUAAAUAUGCAGUUUUUCAAAUUUGAACAUGGAGCAAAUGUUUACAGAUUGAAACUUAUCAUUUCUUGAUUACCAGUAUGAAGUAGGGCAAUAGUCCUAUUGAAAGCCAUUCUUAAUUGGGCUCAUUGUAAAUGUUUGGUUAAAAGAAAAGAUUAAAGUGAGCUUUGACCUCUGUGGAAUGCUGAGGCUGGUGAAAUUUCUGGUUCUAGCAUUAUCCUCAAAUUGUCUCACAGAGAAUUAUAUUUUACAAAGUUAGAAGGCAGAAGAACCCUACUCUUUGUUUUAGAUUUGCCUAGCAUCCAGUCAGAGAUGGGUAAAUAAGGACAGAACCAUGGGACUCCAGUGGCCUUACUUAGGAGGCCCAUACUAAUGGCAACGGCAAGACAGUGCUACAUAGACAUAAAUAAUCUGUGAUUGCAGAUGUGCAGGUACAGUAUAAAAAAAAUUAUUCUAUCCUUAUAGUCUUAGGUGUUGGCACAUUUCUUUUGAGCCCAUGUAUAGAACAGGACAACAUGAAAAGUGAAAUAUUCAAGCCGUGGAGAAAAAGAAAAUAUAUUGUUGUAUUUUAUUUAUGG
Pan troglodytes (chimpanzee) is the source of this 2603-nucleotide long non-coding RNA. RefSeq lists it as uncharacterized. The transcript is spliced from 4 exons. The record is from RefSeq and is a predicted model, not a curated record. Lineage: Eukaryota; Metazoa; Chordata; Mammalia; Primates; Hominidae.